This 2865-nucleotide long non-coding RNA is filed under the name Hordeum vulgare. RNAcentral's name for it is "long non-coding RNA (HVUL_LNC002112)". The record is from RNAcentral. Lineage: Eukaryota; Viridiplantae; Streptophyta; Magnoliopsida; Poales; Poaceae.
UAUAUAUAUAUAUUAGGUAAAAGAUAGAUUUAUUUAUUUUGCUUUAUACUUCCUUUGUUCGGAAAAGAUUGACUGACGCGCAGUGUGCUGGCGUUUUUGUAAAAAAUACCUCGAAAAUUGAAAACUAUCUCAAAUCGAUCUAUGCCUCCAUCUUCUUUCUUCGCUGAUCCCGCGCGUCGCCUGACACACGCCAGCCAGCAGAUUUCGCCGCCGCCCACCUGCGCCUCUGAUUCUGCCGCUGCCCGCGACCUGCGCCUCUAAUUCUGUCGCCGCCACCCACCUGCACCUGCGAUUCCGCGCAUCGCCACUGUUGCCCAGGACCUGCACCUGCGGGAUUCUGCACCUACGCUGCCCAGGACGUGCACCAUCCAGGAACUGCUCUGCCGCCGUUGAGGACCCGUGCCAGCGCAUUCCUCUCUCGCCAUGACCGCCUUCGCUCGUUCCCCAGCCGCCAUCCCCUCUGUGCAUUCCCCUCCAGCCAAGACCCCCCCGGUCGUCGUCGGAGCCUCCUGCCGUGAUCUGGUUGAGGUCGUCCUCCUUGAGCUCUGCAUGCUCCUGGGUGACGAUCUCCUGGACGAGGAGUGCGUGCUGCUGCUCGCGUCCCAGGACACUUUCUCACGCCCGUGGACGCCGGUGCGGGAUUUUGGCAAGUCCCGUGCCGCCGGUCCUCUCUCUGGCGGCUUCCGUAGGCAGGGCCACGCGGGUGUGCCCAGCGGCGAGAUGAUCUGGCAUCCGAUCGAGCACCGUCCCUCGCCGCCGCUGCCUUUUGCCACCCCACCCCUCGCUGCUGCUGCUGCCUGCGUGUGCUGCAAGAAGUAAAGUUUAGUGCUGCUGCCUAUAAAAGUUCAGUGCUGAGCCAUUUGUCUAAAUGAACCUGUUUGUCGCCUGAUUGUUGCAUCCAUGUCAAUGUAGCAUUGCUAUUUACUGAAAUGAAAAUGAUGGAGACAGUAGCAUUGUUCACAUUUUGGCUUUGAACAAGAAGAUGAAUGUAGGAUUCUUUCAUGAUGCUCACCUGAAUGUACAACACCCCAAUCACAGCAGGAACAACAAUUAGAACAACUUGCCAUGUAACCAUUAUCAUCGUAAAAGGGAUGUCGAAGUCCAAGAUGCACAAAUCUCACAAAGCCUGCAUAAAAUGCAUGAUUAAUGGUGCAAAUCUGCAGUAACAUGGUGCAAAUCUGCAGUAACAUGGUGCAAAUAUGCAGUAACUAUGAUUUUUGACAGUAAGAAUAAGAAUGAAAAUUCAGUGAGUAAAUAAGAUUACAGAAUAAGAAUAGGGGCUUGAGGAUGUUCCAAUUAGUGUUCAAGUGAAGAAAAGUGAAGAUAAUGAUGAUUUUUGACUAAAGAUCAGUAACAUUAGAAUAAACAUGAAUUAUACUCCAGUUUCAGUUGAUUACAUAAUCCAUUGCACAUGAAACUACUAGCACUCUACUAGGCAGGCUCAACCCAAUGCACUCGAUAGUGGGCACUACUGGUCUUUGAAGAAAAUAAUUUCAGAUCACAGCAAUAAUAUUUUAGUUAGAGAUGUUUGUAGCUAUGUUUCAGAUCAUAGCAAAAUAAUUGGAGAUGAGUACUGUAGCUAGCACUCCUAGGUGAUAGUAGGAAUGCAAUAUUGAACUAAAGAUCAAUAUUAUGACGGUUGACCAUUUGUUGAACUGUUAAUUUAUUCUUGGCCCAUUUACAAACUGGAUCAACCAGUAUUGAAUAUGGUCAAACAUCAGUACUAAAUUCAUGCAUAAAUUCAAUGAGGAAUCAUAUCAUCAAAUUUACUCACGGAUUUUUAUUCUCUGAAUUAAAGAUUCAAAGGUAAUCUUUAGGCAAUUGUACUCCAUGUAGACAGAAUUAUAAAACCAAAUGUUGUAAUAAUUGAGAACUUGAGACCCUUACCAGAAAAAAAAUCUAAGCAAGCUACUGAAACCAAAUGUUCACAUAGUCUAAACCAAAUGUUUAGAGACAAAUCAUUACAGUAACUACAAGUGACAAGAACUACAGUAACUGAAUAUUCAGUAAUUGUAUAACAUACACUCCAGAAAAUUCAGUGAACUUGAAUUACUUACAAUGAAGAAUUGAAGUACUCCUUGCAAUUAGUUACAGUGAGCUCGUAGUAACAGGCAGCUACUGCUUUGAACUUGCAAUUGGAGCAUUAAUCUUUCCCCUGGAACGAACACUCUGUUUGUUGGUGUUAGUUUUCAAGGAGUUACCUAUUUUGAUUUCAGUUGUUGAUGAGUAAAAGUACUGAGUUCACUGUGUAAUGAAAGAUGAAGAAGCUCAACUGUAGAGUACUGCAUUCACGGAAGGUGUUGAUUACCUAGGUUAUUCAGUGGGACGAACAAAGCUGCUGACUUGGCCUUAUCUCUUGCAGUUCCACCAGCUUGGCAAUGGCGGCCAACUCUUCCUGGAGCAAGGCUUCGGGACCUUCAGCUCCGCCUUGCGGCAGGUCUCCCCCAGCCUCUCGAGGAGGUGCGGGCAUGGCUAGGAGAAGGCUAGGCCCGAGUCUGUAAGAUUAACCUCCACCGCGCCGGGACCUCCCUCCCCUGCCAAAGAUGAAGGACACAGCGAAAGGCGUGCUCGCUGAUGAGGAUGAUCUUUCCAGACGCGGACACGAAUCUCGCCGCCGCCGGACCUAUCCUCCCCGCCAUCCCCAUGUCAUCCAAAGGAGAAAUAACCAAUUUUUCCUGUGCUAUGGACCGAGAGGAGGCCCGAGGGAGCUGUGUGGGAAAUGGAUCAGCGGGGAGCUGUGCAGGGGACCGGGAGGACGCGCGGGGGAGCUGCGCGGCGUGGGUGUGUUGCGCGGUGGCCGACGAUGACGCGACGGAGCAGGCGGCGACACAGGAGGGGAUGUGAGCAGUGACAUGGAUCGCGGGU